AGAUGACUAUCAGAAUAAACAGUGAGGCAGAAAUGAUUUUCUCUGUAAUGUACUGGAAUGACAAGAGAAAUUCAUCCUCUGGAUGACUCCUGAGAAAUUCUGCCUAUAGUGGUCUCACGGAGCUUCAAAGGACAGGGUGUACUAACCCAGAAGCCAAAGAUUAGUGGCUCAGAACCCAGGUCGGACUCGGCCAGCCUGAAUUCUGGCUCUGUGCUCUGCAAUUCAGUAGCUGUGUUCAGUAAAACCAGGUUUUCUUUUUAUUUUAUAAAAUCAAGAGGAAAUGAAAAAAAUCCAAAGA
RNAcentral lists this long non-coding RNA (298 nucleotides) under Mus pahari (shrew mouse). RNAcentral describes it as "predicted gene 17133 (MGP_PahariEiJ_G0002808.1)". Lineage: Eukaryota; Metazoa; Chordata; Mammalia; Rodentia; Muridae. The record is from RNAcentral.